Molecule: non-coding RNA, 21 nt
Filed under: Arabidopsis thaliana (thale cress)
Lineage: Eukaryota; Viridiplantae; Streptophyta; Magnoliopsida; Brassicales; Brassicaceae
Source: RNAcentral
UUAAUCUAUUUUUCAGGUGUA